CCCGCUCGGGCCGGGCUGUGCGGCCACGUCCCCGCUCGGGCCGGGCUGCGGCGAUGCGGCCGGCGGGACGCGGCCGUGCGGCGCUGCUGGCCCGGCCGUGCGGCGCUGCUCACCCGGCCAUGCGGCCGUGCUGACCCGGCCAUGCGGCGGCCCUGCAAGGUGGCGGCGGCCCUGCUGUGCCUGGCCGUGCUGCUGCUGCUCUAUCUGCUGGCGGGCAGCGCGGCCCCGCCGCCCGCGCCCUCCGCGCCCGCCCGCCGCCCGCCGCGCCUCGGCCGGAGCUCCCCGAGGAGGAGCCCCGCGGGCGGCGGCAGCGCCAGCGCCAGGAAGCCUGGAGAGCAGAAACAUCCAAAGGAGCCCUCAUCCUUGCAGUGCAUGCAUCUGGCAGUGGUGGCAUGUGGGGACCGGCUGGAGGAGACGCUGAUCAUGCUGAAAUCGGCAGUUCUCUUCAGCAACAGGAGGCUCUGCUUCCACAUCUUUGCUGAGGAUUCCCUUAAGCCUGAAUUUGAGAAGAAGUUAAAGGAGUGGCCUUCCUCAUAUACAAAGAAGUUUGAGUCCAACUUUUACCCAAUAACCUUCUCAGUAGGAAAUGCUCAGGAAUGGAAAAAGUUAUUCAAACCAUGUGCUGCCCAGCGCCUGUUUCUUCCGGUGAUUUUAAAGGACGUGGAUUCCCUGCUUUACGUGGACACUGAUGUGCUGUUCCUGAGGCCCAUCGAUGACAUCUGGCACCUCCUGAGAGAAUUCAACUCCACCCAGCUGGCUGCCAUGGCCCCCGAGCACGAGAUCCCCAAGAUUGGCUGGUACAGCCGCUUUGCCCGUCACCCUUAUUAUGGCACCACCGGCGUCAACUCCGGGGUGAUGCUGAUGAAUUUGACACGGAUCCGCAGCACUCAGUUCAAGAACAGCUUGAUACCAGGUGGCUUGACUUGGGAGGAAAUGUUAUAUCCAUUGUACCAAAAGUACAAAAAUUACAUCACGUGGGGAGACCAGGAUUUGCUAAAUAUCAUUUUUUACUUUAACCCAGAGUGUCUGUACGUGUUCCCCUGCCAGUGGAACUACCGGCCCGACCACUGCAUGUACGGCAGCAACUGCAGGGGGGCAGAGGAGGAGGGGGUCUCCAUCCUGCACGGCAACAGAGGCGUGUACCACGAUGACAAGCAGCCCACCUUCAAGGCUCUCUACGAGGUGAUCCGGGAUUUUCCAUUUGAAGACAAUCUCUUCCAGUCCUUGUACUACCCUCUUCAGUCGAAGUUUCUGGAUACAGUGCACACUUUAUGUGGGAGAAUUCCACAAGUAUUUUUGAAGCAAAUUGAGAAAACUAUGAAGAAGGUGUAUGAAAAUCGUGUCAUUGUGUACUUGGGGGCCAACCACAGAUACUAACUGUAGCUCUCUUCUUACACAGAAGUUUUAAGUCCUAUACUCUUUUUCAUGAAGGAUAUAAAUGAAGAAUAUAGCUCUUUUACUGAAACUCAGAAUUAAAAUAUUUCUUUUUCCAAUUUUCUAAUAACCCUUGAAAUUAAAAAAUGCAGGAAAUCCUAGAAGCCUACUGAGAUUGUUGCUGAGAAGAGCAGGGGAAUCCUUUAUUUUUGGAGUACAGUUGUGGCCUGCCUCCCCAGUCCCUUACAGUUAAGAAUGUAUUCUCUGGCUUGGUAAUGUGAAUUGCAUUAGGCACAGUCCAGGACUAUUGUCAAUGAAGAGUACAAACCCGGGUACUGUUGAUCCAUUUUCCUCUUCAAGUGCUAUUCCCUGCACAAUAACAGCAGUAUUUUACUGCCAGACAGUUUUCCAUCCCUGCCUUGGGAGAUGGCCAGUGCUGCCCCUGACUCCCCUCUCCUGCAUGGAGAUGUAUUUCUGCCUUGUGCUUCCAUUUCUGGGAUCACAGAAGCAGAGAAUUCUAGAAUGGUUUGGGCUGUAAGGGACCAUUAUGGGUAUCUUGUUCCACCCUCUGCCAUGGGCAGGGACACCUUCCACUAGACCAGGUUACUCCAGCCCCAUCCAACCUGACCUUGAACACUUCCAGGGAUGGGGAAGCUGGGAUCUUUAUGCUGGGAUCAUAAUGAAUAGCCUUAAAGUGGAAGAGGAUACAAGAUGGCUUUGAUGUUUAUUUAAAAUACUUCAUUUAGCUUAAACUUCCAAAGUAUGAUCAUCAUCUUGUGAUAUGCACAAAGAGCUUGUUUAAACUGCAGUAGCUGAAAGGUGCUUGGGACCAGUCCCUGGGGAACUGGAAGUGAGGGCACUCCUACAGAGCAGAUCCAAGAGCAAACUCACUCCUGAAGAGCAGUGAUCCAAGAGCAGACUCCCAGAGGGCAUUUUUUAGGUGUAAGCCCCAAAGGUGUGUGUAGGAGUGCUUCAAGGAAGCAGGAGAGAAAAUGAUGUUACUUUUCAAGUCUGUUCAGCAGAAAACAUCAGUCAUGACUUGGAACUGCUCAUUUUUUUAUUUAACAGGCAAAGUAGGAGUGGGGUGAGCAGGGUGAGAUAAUGAAGCCUUCCCCUAAUGAAAGGAAAACUGGCACAGAUGGGAUAUCCUGUGCAUGUAUCAUGCAUUUGUUAGAGAGAAAUGCCUGGGGACUGUGGAUGAGGGAAAGGAUACAUUCACAAAGUUAAAAUAAGAUUUCUGAGGAAUUGCAGUUUUGGGCAUUCUCCCCUAUCCAGUCAGGACUAAUGCAGGGUUUCAUAAGAAAACAGACUCCAGGAGUCUCCCUUUUAGCUCGCACAUUUCUCUCUCCUCGUCUGGCAGUUGCUGAGAGGAGGGAAAACACGACCUUGGUGCCAUCCCAGGCUGCCAGAUAAGAGCCUGUGCAUGGGAUGGAGUUCCAGCAAUCUUUUCCCAAACCCUGGAGUGUGAGAGUGUCUGUGACACCGCCUGGCAGAGAGCAGGGCUGCAGGCAGCUGAGUGGGGGAGUGGUGGGACAGGGGCUUUGGAGUGAGGGACAGCAGAGCUGCCGGACCUCACAGCAUGACAGGAACAGAAACCUUGUUUGCACCUCUGCUGCAAAUCGUAAUCACACUUUGAUUAAACAAUGUGUUCUGACUCCAGCCCUUAUCUCACAGUGUUUGCCACCUGAGUGUAAAUUGACAUGUGAAGGACACAGGGGCAGCUGGACUGUUGUGAUUGAAAGCCUGGGACACAGAAAGUCAUUUAAACUUGAGCAGAGGUGCCUUUCCAACUUGUCUUAGGAUUUUCUAUUUUAGCUGAAAUUUUAGUUGCCAAUUUAAACAAGAGUACACUUUUGCCUACUGAGAGGAGUUUGAAAUGUAACCCAAAAGGGCAUUGAAGAUUUCAGAACCAGAAGGCAGAGAAAAGAAGUUUUACUGUAGUGAAAGAGUCUGAUAUUGGAUAUAAAGAGACAAAUACAUUUAACUUCCCCCAAAGUGCUCGUGUGUCAUGCUGCAGCUCCAGUUGUGUUACGGUGAGCAUAGAUCAAAACCUUCUCUCAAAGGAAACUGGAGUUUUAUCUUUUACUCUUUACUGUUUCUCCAUUAUGUUUCACUCCUUGGAGGUAAUUUAGCAGCAUUUCCCCUCCCUCCUUCUUGUAUGCAUUUUUUGACAUUCUUGUAUGGUCACUACUGUGCUCUUUGCUUGUGACAUCUCUGUGUGACAGAAUCUCCUGGGCUGCCUGUUCAGCACAACCCUGGUGGUGCUGACACUGUUUCCAGCUGGGUGUUGGGCUCAGCCUCAGCUCUCUGAAGUCAAAAUAAGGAUAAAACUGUCAUUGACCUGGCUGGGCAGAGGUGGGCCAGCUGUAGAACACCAGCCUGUGGGUGAGUUCUGGAAAGGCUGUGGGUGUGUGGGGAGUGUUACACACUCACAGUGUAAUCACUGCUCGGUGAUUCAAGGUUUUUCACUUGCAAAUGUGGCUCCAGCCAGUGUUGGUGUGGGGAGAAGAGAGAUUUCCCAAGCUGGGAAUAAAGUACAAGCAAUUGGAAAAAAAAAAAAAAAAAAUCUUGACACUUUGUCAACUGCCAGAGAAUCCUUUUUUCCUCUCCAUCAGAUACAAUAAAUUGUGAUGGUAAGAAAUUGUGAGCACCCCUCCAGAGGUGAGAUGGGAUGAGACAGUCACCAGGAUACCAGGAGCCCUGCAGAGGCUGGAAACAUUCCCCCACUGCUCUUGGGACAAGUGCUUGUGUGUGCUGGGAUCAGCCUGCACCUCCCGCUGGCAAGAGAUAAGGAAUUGCUAUUUGAGCUUCAGAAGACAGAGCAAUGUUGGGAAAUUUUGCUUUCAUUCUGGAUGAGAAUACAAACCAAACUGUCAACACUUCCUUUGAAAUGAAAAUCCAGACAAAACACCAAAUUGAGGCUCAGCAUUGAAGAUGAACAAAGCGCUUUGUUAAUGUUUUCUUUUGAGGUAAAAUAUUUUAGUUUGACUCUCACAUUUCUGUAAAUGUAUCUUAAUUGCUGCUGCUGUUACUUUGUGAAAACUACAUUAUAGCCCAAAAGUGUGUAUGUAUAGUUUUGUUAACUAAUACUGAAAUAAUGACACAGAAAUGACAUGGCUCUUUAUUUUAAAGACCUGUUUUUUAAAUCUUCUCCUGAAUCCUUGUGAAAAUGUUAAUUCCCUCCUGCGAGGGUUAAACUGUGCACAACAGGUGCCUUCUCAGGUUUCACACCUUCAAGCAAAGAUCUUCCCAUUCUGCUCAACACUUCCAAAGGGCACCAUGGUUCCUCACACCUGAGCUCCAGGUGAGAAAACAAGGCUGGUUUUAGUCUGACUGGUUCUGUAGUUUGUGAUGUCAGGAAGCUCCUGUUCCAGGGAGAUACUGUGAGGAAGGUGUUAAAUACAGCUUGGAAAGAAAACUGCCAGCCAGUUUAACAUGGGCUCUUGGCUUAACAGGAGACAAUCCAUGAGGAUUUGCUGGAGUCGGUGGCUGAGCCAGGUAAAGCCUGGAAUGUUUGUCACAUCUGGCUAUUCCUUGGUUUUUUUUUGUAUCUCCUGUGGGUAAUCUUUCACAAGAAACACCAGGUCCCACAAAUACCAUUUUUCUGUUUUCAGCCUCUUUUUUUAAGGCACUGUGUGUGAGCUGUUCUUGUCUUUUGAUACUCCCAAGUCUUCGAGAUUUUUUAAAAGCACAAUAAAGAUUUUUAGUCAUUUUCUCAGAGGAGAAACAUAAUUUGUCUCGAGGCAGCUGUGAUAUACUUUAAAGAAAAAAAACAAACACUUUCCUACUCUGGAUGGUUCAGAGAGCUAUGAUUUUUAGUGUUAAAUUAUUGUACCCAUACUCAGGUUUCUGCAGCUAUAAAUUUAAACAAACCAAACAAAAUCUCUAUGCUCCUUUUGUAAAUCCUUUGAUGUGUAUCGAUCUACAAUAUUUUCUGAAGACCUAAGUGAGUCUUGAAAUGUAAGAUUGUUCUCAUUUUCUUAUUGUUUUCACUGGAUUCUGCUGCAUCUCCCUUGCUUGAAUGCUGUAUUGAAUUGCUACAGAUUGUUUCAAAGCAAAACAAUCAAUUUUUGUUCAAACUGGGUGGAAAUACCUUGCAAAUUGCUGUCACACAUCAGUAAAGGGAAACUGCUUUAAGUCAAGUUGGGUCAGGGAUCUCUAGAUACCUAAUCUAAGCUUCAUUUGUCAGAGCAGAAGUAGCUGCUGGUCAUAUACCACAAGUAAUUUUAAUUAUUGAUCUGUGU
Molecule: RNA transcript, 5618 nt
Organism: Poecile atricapillus (Black-capped chickadee)
Lineage: Eukaryota; Metazoa; Chordata; Aves; Passeriformes; Paridae
Gene: GXYLT2
Gene name: glucoside xylosyltransferase 2
Exons: 8
Source: RefSeq, a predicted model, not a curated record